Molecule: ribosomal RNA, 420 nt
Filed under: Fusobacteriota bacterium
Lineage: Bacteria; Fusobacteriati; Fusobacteriota
Description: Fusobacteria bacterium partial 16S ribosomal RNA
Rfam family: Bacterial small subunit ribosomal RNA
Source: RNAcentral
UGGGGGAUAUUGCACAAUGGGCGAAAGCCUGAUGCAGCGACGCCGCGUGGGGGAUGAAGGCCUUCGGGUUGUAAACUUCUUUUGCUCUGAACAAGGCAUGCCUUUGGGGUGUGUUGAGUGUAGGGGUUGAUUAGCGCCGGCUAACUACGUGCCAGCAGCCGCGGUAAUACGUAGGGCGCGAGCGUUGUCCGGAAUUAUUGGGCGUAAAGGGCUUGUAGGUGGCUGGUUGCGUCUGUCGUGAAAGCUCAUGUCUUAACUGUGGGUUUGCGGUGGGUACGGGCUGGCUUGAGUGCAGUAGGGGAGGCUGGAAUUCCUGGUGUAGCGGUGGAAUGCGCAGAUAUCAGGAGGAAUACCGGUGGCGAAGGCGGGUCUCUGGGCUGUUACUGACGCUGAGGAGCGAAAGCGUGGGGAGCGAACAGG